UUCCCAUUAUUCCAGUGGUUAGGAUAUCGGCUUUUCACGCCGGAGACCGGAGUUCGAUUCUCCGAUGGGAAG
Molecule: transfer RNA, 72 nt
Organism: Hepatospora eriocheir
Lineage: Eukaryota; Fungi; Microsporidia; Hepatosporidae
Rfam family: tRNA
About the family: Transfer RNA (tRNA) molecules are approximately 80 nucleotides in length. Their secondary structure includes four short double-helical elements and three loops (D, anti-codon, and T loops).
Source: Rfam